AUUCGAGCGCCUACAUCGGGAUCGGAUUCUCAACCAACAAUCAGAUGAUCGGAGCCAGCGCGGUCGUCGGGUGGAUACCUUCCGACGGCGGAAAUGGACAGGCGAAACCCUACUUUCUCGGAGGGCAAUCGCCCGGUGAGGUAAUACCUGACCAAGGAGAUCUGAAAAUCGUCAACGGCUCGUUGAAGAUCGAGUCAGUGUCGUCGCGUCUUUACCUGAGUUUCCAAUUGACGGCGGAGCUGCCUCGGCAGAGCAUUCUUUACGCAUUGGGACCUGCCGGAUUCUUUCCAUCUUCGCCGGAUUUUAGGUUGAGAGAGCAUCGCUUCAUGACCACCACGACCGUCGAUUAUGUUACAGGUAAGCA
This 364-nucleotide long non-coding RNA is filed under the name Eutrema salsugineum. Its description in RNAcentral is "long non-coding RNA (ESAL_LNC001677)". Lineage: Eukaryota; Viridiplantae; Streptophyta; Magnoliopsida; Brassicales; Brassicaceae. The record is from RNAcentral.